Molecule: long non-coding RNA, 769 nt
Organism: Salvia hispanica
Lineage: Eukaryota; Viridiplantae; Streptophyta; Magnoliopsida; Lamiales; Lamiaceae
Source: RefSeq, a predicted model, not a curated record
UCUCCCUUUCCUCCCCCUCUCUCUCUCUGCGACGGAACCCUCCCCUCUCUGGAGAGCUUCCUUCAUCUACCUCUCUCUCCCUCUCUCUCUCUGCGACGGGAACCCUCUCCUCUCUGGAGAGCUUCCUUCAUCUACCUCUCUCCCUCUCCUCCCCCUCUCUCUCUCUCUCUGCAACGGGAACCCUCUCCUCUCUGGAGAGCUUCCUUCAUCUACCUCUCUCCCUCUCCUCCCCCUCUCUCUCUCUCUGCGACGGGAACCCUCCCCUCUCUGCAGAGCUUCCUUCAUCUAACAACAAUCGAUCAGCUUUCUUUUGGUUUUAUAGAGGCGAAAGCGGCAGUUGCCAACAAAGCUAAUAAUAAGUUGGAAUGAAGCUUCAUUUAGUUGCAAUGGUUGAUGAUGCUGGUUGAGCACAAAAGUAGAGGUGUAGAGGAAAAGAUCUAUUAUUGGCCGAAGUUGAUACUGAGAUUCAAAUAAGAGUUACUCACCAAGGUGAUGAUCAUGAUGAAGAGGAUGAGAGUCGUGAUUAUCAUAAUGAGAUGGAAGCGACUCAACACUCAGAUCGGAUUACAAUUGUUCAAGUUACAAAUGAGUGGACUAGGUUUAGGGAUAGUCUAGUUGAAGCUAUGUUUCUCCAUUAUCAAAAUAGGCGAAACUAACUUUUAUGAUGUUAUUAUGAAACUAUUGUAAUCACUUGUUACGUAUGGUUUACUUCUUGUUUGUUCCUAAUUAUUAUCGACAUUCAUAUCUAUGUAUUGUUUUCAUUGUUUUA